UACGUAGGGCGCAAGCGUUGUCCGGAAUUAUUGGGCGUAAAGAGCUCGUAGGCGGCUUGUCACGUCGAUUGUGAAAGCCCGAGGCUUAACCUCGGGUCUGCAGUCGAUACGGGCUAGCUAGAGUGUGGUAGGGGAGAUCGGAAUUCCUGGUGUAGCGGUGAAAUGCGUAGAUAUCGGGAGGAACACCUGUGGCGAAAGCGGCAUACUGGACCAUAACUGACGCUGAGGCGCGAAAGCUAGGGGAGCAAACAGG
RNAcentral lists this ribosomal RNA (253 nucleotides) under uncultured bacterium. RNAcentral's name for it is "partial 16S ribosomal RNA". It matches the Rfam family "Bacterial small subunit ribosomal RNA", at positions 524 to 776 of the family's 1533-position model. The record is from RNAcentral.